Molecule: transfer RNA, 72 nt
Filed under: Camelus bactrianus (Bactrian camel)
Lineage: Eukaryota; Metazoa; Chordata; Mammalia; Artiodactyla; Camelidae
Also listed under: 1 other name
Rfam family: tRNA
About the family: Transfer RNA (tRNA) molecules are approximately 80 nucleotides in length. Their secondary structure includes four short double-helical elements and three loops (D, anti-codon, and T loops). Further hydrogen bonds mediate the characteristic L-shaped molecular structure. tRNAs have two regions of fundamental functional importance: the anti-codon, which is responsible for specific mRNA codon recognition, and the 3' end, to which the tRNAs corresponding amino acid is attached (by aminoacyl-tRNA synthetases). tRNAs cope with the degeneracy of the genetic code in two manners: having more than one tRNA (with a specific anti-codon) for a particular amino acid; and 'wobble' base-pairing, i.e. permitting non-standard base-pairing at the 3rd anti-codon position.
Source: Rfam by way of RNAcentral
GAGUAUAUAGCUUAGUGGUGGAGCACACACUUAGCUUGCAUGAGGCCCUGGGUUCAAUUCCCAGUACCUCCA